Molecule: long non-coding RNA, 1574 nt
Filed under: Triticum aestivum (bread wheat)
Lineage: Eukaryota; Viridiplantae; Streptophyta; Magnoliopsida; Poales; Poaceae
Description: long non-coding RNA (TAES_LNC004416)
Source: RNAcentral
UCAAAUCUGUCUAUUUAUUAUAACAUUCCAAAAUUUAGAAUUUUGGGAUGUUACAUUUUUAGCACAAACACACUAAGACAAAAUCCAUUACUAUUGAUGUCUCGAUCAUGUCAUUUUUGCAAGAAUAAAAAACUCACUAACCUAAACACAAGAGGGAAUGAAGUCUGAAGUAGAUAUUUUCUCUACCAUCUGUAACUCCACAAUAUGGAUGGAAGCCCUAUGGGCACAGGUACCGGUGAGUUCCAUGGACAUCCUUCGUUAGCUCGGUAACAAUCCAGGCAGCGGCUCAAUGGAAAUAACAAUCGACCGCUGCAUCCAACACUAAUGGGAAAGAAGACAACCAAUCAUCACAUAUUUGGUGCGUGAGAAAAGAUCAUCAUGAUGUUGCUACAAGUACAACCUUCAGAACACCAGUAUACUUGAAAUGCUCAUAAGCCAUAAUCAUCGUCAUCCAGCGCUCAGUGUUGUAAAAAAUCAUCUGCAAGUAAAACAUGAUAAAAGAAAAGCUACAUACUAAGAGAAGUUGCAUAAGCUUCUAUUCAUCUCUUCACAAGGAAUUUAUGUAUAUACAUUCAAGGACCAUGGACUAUCGGUGAAGAUAGAUAUCUUUUUUUUCUCUCUUGACAGGUGAUGUAAGUACCAAAAACUUGCUGAAAACGGAUUACACGUACAUGUACUAAAUAAACCCGCUCACAUAAAAAUUUCCUACCCUGUAAAUAGUAUCAAAUAUUUGGAUUAAUUAACUAGCGGUUUUGGAUCGCCAAGGCCAUUAAAGUGAUAUCUAACAUAGAUGCCAAUAUAGAGCCAGAUAAACAUAGUGAUGAUUAAGAUGGAUGUAUGGUUCUCAUACAUAUAUGAAGAUGUAUCAGUCCUAAAAAGUAAGUGCACUGGUGCAUCAACAAAGAACUAACCGAUAUCAAAAGUACAAAAAUUGCCAAUAUAUUUUGAGCAAGCCAGCCAGUGCCAUGGUUUUAUCCUAACUAACUACUUUUUUGCGGGGGAUCCUAAUUAACUACUUGACCAUUCACAGUAUAGUAAAGUACCAUAUGCAUCACCAUUUCCUAGCAUAUAAUAGUAUAGUAAGACUAAAAGAUACUCGGUAAUGGGGUUGACCAUUCGAGCAACCAAUUUCAUCACAGGUUUCCAGAUAUCUAGAGACAACACUUGUAUGGAAAUAUAUCACAACUAAGCAACAUAAUCAGGAGAUGAAUAGUUUCAACAAAGAAUGAAUCUAAGAACAGCCGAAGGUACAACACACUGACCUGAUUUGCUUGCAGCACCAUGUCUUGUUGGAUGCUGGCCUCCUCCUCACCAAUCAAUCGAUGCGAUGGUCUUACUAAAACUGUAUGAGAAGGAAAUCAUGGUGGCAAAUGCAAAACCUAGGAAAGGAGAUCAAGGAACCAAAUUAAAUUCUGAAAAAACCAGACCUCUCAAUGAAACCUUGCAAGGGGGCGAGGAGUGCAGUGGCCAGCGGUUGGGUCGCCCCGAGGAUCUACUCCCGAAUCCCAGCCGGCACGCCCUGACUAUCAGCGACACGUCCUCGCCCACGUGGAUCCGUCGCCCGCUCAUCUUUG